CGUGGGAGGCAGAGGUUGCAGUGGGCUGAGAUCCAGCCAUUGCUCUCCAGUGAGGGUGACAGAGCAAGACUCCAUCUCAAAAAAAACAAAACAAAAAAACAAGCAACUUGAAUUAUGGAGGACACUAGAAACAGUGUUUCCUACAGAGUCAGGGCUUCCUACUAGCAUAGUCACUUCUGGGGUUUUUGACCUGAAAGUUCUGUGGCAUAUUUUUUCUUUGUUUUCCACUUUUUGUUUUUUCUAUUUUUCCCCUCUUUCUGUCCUCUGCUUUAUCUUCUAGAGACCUAGGUAGUCCCCAGAGGAAUAGUGCUUUAUGGAGUCUAAUGGUGAUUUAUUGGGUAAAAACAGAAAACGAUUUUUUUUACCUGCAAGUUCCAUACCAAGAAAUGAAUAUAAGCUUUUCAUGCAGUUUCACACAUUGAAAAUGCAGGUAAUUUUAAUUCCUUGCUCUUUUCAGAAUUCUCAAUCGCAAUCCUCUGACAAGUGUUGAAGAUCCAUAUUUGUUUAAGUUGCCAGCAUUAAAAUAUCUAGACAUGGGAACAACACGAAUCACACUUACAACAGUUAAGAACAUCCUCAUGAUGACUCUUGAAUUGGAAAAACUGAUCUUACCUAGCCUUAUGGCCUGCUGCCUGUGCCAAUUUAAAAAUAGCUUUGAGGUUGUCUGCAAGACAGUCAAGCUGCAUUGCAACAGUGCAUGUCUGACAAACACCACACAUUGUCGUGAGUCCAAAUUGCCUGGUGAUAAACUGUUACAUUAUUUUAAGUAUUUGUUUUUAAUUUUUUAUUUUUAAUUGAUAAAAUUUUAAGCUAAUGAUAUAAUUGCUUUAUUUUUCUUUACUCAUUCAGAGUUAAACUCCCUAAAUUUCUGAACUACUCUCUUGUUGAGAGUCAAGUUCUCAGUUAUAAAACUUAAUAAUAGAACUGCAUAUGCAUACAGGACCAAGACAAAGGAAUAGAAAGGCUAGGGAGUAACAUUAAUAUUCACACACUGUGUACUGUGCUCUCUGUUUGGUACUUUGUCCCCAGUGGUAAUUUAUUCAUAUAGUGUAAGCUGGCUUUAUAUACAUGAGGUCUCAGGUACCUCUGCCUUAUAGAACAGUUAUAGAACUGGUUUUGGUUUUUUUGUUUUUAGAAUUUUAUAAGAGUACAAGUGAUGCUGUUUUAUUUGAAGCCUGAGAGCUUCUGGUUCCAUAACCAGAAAUUGCUACCUGGCUCUUCUAAUGUAAUGGAGGGCUUUUGCAUUCUUAGACCAUCCAACUCUGAAGUUGCUCUGAAUUUCAGACCUUUCUUUUCACAGAACAAACACUCAAGUGCUUUCAAGUGUUUUUGUGUAUAUUUGGUUUAUUAGCACCAACUUCAUGACUUCUAAAAUGUGACUGCUUUCAUGUCCAGGUAGCUUGAAUACAGGUAUCUACCACUGAUACAGGGUGUAAUAAAUAAUGCUUGGCUACUUACACAAAGAUAGUGUUGCUUAUUUUUCAAAACUUUUUUUUUUUAACGAAUUGUAUUAUUUCCUUCUCGCCAAGAGGUGGGUAGAAAAGCAUUGUUAAUCUCCUUUUACAGAUAAAGAAAAACAAGAUUAGAGGUGCUAAGUGCUGUAGCCGAGUGCCAGGUCUUCUGCCCGCAGUUCUGGGUUCUCCCCAAGCCCAUGUUUCUCCUUUCUCACAAUCUUCACCUUCUGACCCUCACCAUCACCCAGAAUACUUGUAAUUCUGGAAAAGACACUCAGCUGCACAGUGGCAUACUUGACCUUCAUGCAGUCGGAAGCUUUGGAUGAUUUCCCAUCCAAAAUGUUAGAGAUGAAAUGAAAGCAAAGUCGGCAUCUGACAAAAGUUGCUUUUUCCCUUCUGCAUUUUAGGACCUCAAGUAAUGUUUAUCCAGAAAUUGCUAUUAUACCAUACAUUCAUUGUACAUUAGACAACAUAGGCAUACAACCUGACAAAUUAAAAAUUUCUUAAGCUACACACCAGAUUCCUACUCAAAUUUAAAAAAAGAACUAAGAUGGACACAGUGUAUUUUUCCCUGUCAAGUCUUCUGUUAUAGGGCCAGUAUACGUGGAAGCAGAGAAUGGGGUGAGUGGACAGAGCAUAUGCCAGAUGAGGAUCUAUCAGCAAUGGGAGGGGCCCUCGCUUGAGCAUCUCCACCCCUGCUCCUCUCAAAGGGCUGCCUUUCAUUGCAUUCACCUGUGAUAGUAGGAAGAACGCAGGCACACUGACUACGAGGAGACAGCGAGACUUGUGCUCUCCCUGCAUCUGAGGCAGGACAGCACAGGGUACAGAGCAGUCUGCUGAGAGGCUAGCUCAUCAGGGAAGCACUUGUCUUCCACCUUGGGCUUUGACUGAGCUCUGGGCAAUUGGGCUCUAGGAAUCAAUGGAAUAAUCCUAAGCAGAGUUAAUCUAUGUCACACUGUGAAAUGUUCCAAGUAGGUGGCCAUGUUUUCAAAACAUGUCUUUUCCUUUUUUUGUUGUUGCCAUUUCAUAGGUUUAGGUUUGGGUGUAUGUUUUUCCUGUCUGAAUGGCACUUGAAUGUUUGCUGACUCCUACUCUGUAUGACUGGGGCGAACAGCGGUGGACUGAUCCAUGCCGUCCCAACAUCUUUCAUUAUCAAAGCAGUCUCUUCUUUUUUGACAGUUGGAGAAGCAUCUAUAGGGAGUCCCUGAGGAGCGUUCAUGAAGGUGUUACAAGCCCAGAAGAAGCACAUGAGCACUGAGCUGACUAUUGAGCCGGAGAUGCCUUCAGACGGCAAUGGCAUCAACUUGUUAGGCUUUGGGAGUGAGCAGCUGGACAUCAAUGAUGAAAGUGAUGUUAUCAGUGCACUAAAUUAUAUCUUGCCUUAUUUCUCAGACGGAAAUGUAGAAGAUGUGGAAUCAAUGUUGUUACCGUUCAUUAAACUGCUUUUUUCAGAUUCACAAGAUGGUGACAGGCCCCUGGGUAUUUUGAAAAACAAUACAAAGAGCCCCUCUCUUCAACCUGCAUCCAACAACUCAUCUUA
Cebus imitator (Panamanian white-faced capuchin) is the source of this 2994-nucleotide long non-coding RNA. RefSeq lists it as uncharacterized. The transcript is spliced from 3 exons. The record is from RefSeq and is a predicted model, not a curated record. NCBI's taxonomy places the organism in Eukaryota, Metazoa, Chordata, Mammalia, Primates, Cebidae.